Tyto alba (common barn owl) is the source of this 1428-nucleotide long non-coding RNA. RefSeq lists it as uncharacterized. Lineage: Eukaryota; Metazoa; Chordata; Aves; Strigiformes; Tytonidae. The record is from RefSeq and is a predicted model, not a curated record. The transcript has 3 exons.
UCCAGCCUGUUCGGAUGUUCUUCGCGUCUCCCUGCUGAGGCAACCAGGAAUUACAGGUUCAUGCGAGUUCAUCUGUACAAAGCCACAGAACACCUCCUUUCUCAUGCAGGAACCUAGCAGAUACAGUCCGCUAUUGGCAGGGAUCGCUAAUGUGAUGCAGGAAGACUCAUCCUCGAACAGUUUUCCGCUCCUCGUCCUGGAAGAAAAGUUUAUGCUUGCAGUGUUGUCCAAGGACAAAACCAAUACAGACGUUCAGGAACAGAAUUUUUUGUACCCAAAUGGAAGCUGCAUCUUCUUAGUGCGAUCUCUCAGCCAUGGCAUCAGUUGAGGCAGGUACCGAGAGGUAACCCUCAUUUCAGACCGCAGGGUUGAAACCGGGAAGACCAGUCGAGAGAACGAGAACUAGACCCUGAUGGAAGCGGGACAAAACCCGCCUUCGGGCGACCGUUACCGCCGCGACGCGGCCCGCGGGCGCCAUCUUGUGGGCAGGCGGCCAUUAGCCGCGGGCGCGCCGGUCACGUCCCCCUUCUCCUGAGGGGGCUCCCGGGCGGCCGGGCCGAUCGGUACGGCCGGCGCUGCGGAGCGCGCGGGCCCCGCCGGUCGGAGCGGCGGCGGCUGCCGGCCCCAGGGUGCCCUGAGGGGGCUCAUGUCGGGGGCGCUGGCGGCUGUUUCCAGCACAGCGCCCAACAGUGACCUGAGUGCACGAGUUGUGGGGGCGUGACGGCUCCGAGGCUUUCAGAAUUCCCUUGUUUCCCCUUUCUCUCCGAGCACUUGAUUUACGGAUGAAAGACUUCGCAACUCAGGGUUGUAAAGCAGCAAGGGGGAGAAGACGAGGCUGCUGGAGCGCCGCGGGAGGGCCCAGGGACUGCCCGCCAUGCCAAGGAGCUGCGAGCAGCCCCGAAGAGCUGUCACGGCGCCCACCCUUUCCAGCCGGAGAGCUGCCAGCAACGGUGACGUGUGGAAAACAGAUUCCACAAUCUGAUAGAUUGUAAAGUAGGUAAUCAUAGGUGAAACACAGGGAAACUGAAUUGAAUUCACCUUUGAAUAAGUGGGAAAGCAGAAAAGUUUCUUUGUUCAUCGCUACCGCACUCUUUCUCCAUUCCUUUAGUGUGUAUUUACAAUAUAGUUUUUUAAACAGGAAAGUAAAUCAAGAUUGUAGAAUGCUGCUGUAUGAAAAACAUGAUCAAAUUCAGAUCCCUUUUAUGGUAGGAUGAACGACAGCUAAAAGUCAUCAACAUACUUAUUCCAUAAUGCAAUCUAUCUUAAAAUCCUAAAAACCCAUUAUGUAAAUUGGGCUAGUAUAUGAAUGAGAAAUGUUUUGAAAAACUUCAACUGUUUAAAAAACCCAUCUUUUCAUUUCAGAAAAGAAAGUUUAUACGAUGAGUGUAUCUGUUUAUGCUUAUUAAUUGACAGUGGUUCCUCUGAACC